GCACGGUAUUAUGUUGGUCCAGUUCCUCUACUCUGCAUUGCAACAAAGUGUAAGGGGUUUCGUAUUUUCUUCAUCUUCAAAUAAAACAAUCCUUCUCAAUAAAAGAAUAAGAGAAAUUGAGAGCUAAGACCAUUUUCUUUCAUUGUACCUCUGUUUCCUCUGCUCCUUGCUCUCUUGGUCAGGCCAAAUGGUGUGUGGUUUGUCCAUUUCUUCUUGACCCCACAUCAAAAAGCAGCAUCCUGGGCUCUCCCAUCUCUCUAUCCCCUUAUCAAGACAGAAUUUGAUGCACUGCUGUCUUGGAUUCUUCCUAGUCAAAAGGAAGCUUGAAAUAUCUCCACUGCUUCUCUGUUUCUUUGAGUCAAAGGACAGUCUGGUUUUAUCUGUUUCUUCUCAUCAUUUUCAAAAUGCAUCACUGUGAGAUCCACUAACCCAAUACCUGUUUUUCAAAUAAUCAAAAUCAUAAACACCAAGAUGUUUACACAUUCAGGUAACACGUCUCUUGACAAUGCAGGUGUGUUUACGUACACACCUGCAUUCAAAGGAAGUACCAUUGUUCUUGUGCAUUUGACAACAUUCAUUUAGUUAACUCCAAAUUUUAGCAAUCCAGAAUCUGUAACUUCUGCAAAAGUUACCUAGUUGUUCAGGGAACAUGCCCCAUCCAAACUAUCUGUAUUUGGGCUUCAUGGUUGUUUUUGGCUUUGCUUUUCUUUUUCUUGUGGUUGUUACUCCUCUUAAAAGGACUAUUGAUUCAUGAUUCAAUGGAUUAUUUGUUGUUUCUGAUAAAAAUAAAUAAAUAAACUAAAAAAAAAAAGAAAAAGAAAAAAAAAAAGAUUUGAUGAAAAUUUUUGGAGUAGCCAUUCAUCAAAUUGCCAUGAGCUUCUCUCCUUAUUUACAUAGUAUAUCACUAUUGCAGAGUCUCCUACUAGAAGGUUAGGUAAACCCUCAUCUUUAGCAAGCUUUAGUCCUACCAUCAACACUAAAAUCUCUGCUUCAAUGGCUAGACCCACUCUAGCAUUCUUAGGGAAUGCUUUCACUUAUGCCCUUUUAUGAUUU
RNAcentral lists this long non-coding RNA (1053 nucleotides) under Vitis vinifera (wine grape). Its description in RNAcentral is "long non-coding RNA (VVIN_LNC004251)". The record is from RNAcentral. Lineage: Eukaryota; Viridiplantae; Streptophyta; Magnoliopsida; Vitales; Vitaceae.